RNAcentral lists this ribosomal RNA (512 nucleotides) under uncultured bacterium. RNAcentral describes it as "partial 16S ribosomal RNA". It matches the Rfam family "Bacterial small subunit ribosomal RNA", at positions 28 to 523 of the family's 1533-position model. The record is from RNAcentral.
GAUGAACGCUGGCGGCGUGCCUAAUACAUGCAAGUCGAGCGAAUGACGAGGAGCUUGCUCCUCUGAUUUAGCGGCGGACGGGUGAGUAACACGUGGGUAACCUGCCUGUAAGACGGGGAUAACUCCGGGAAACCGGAGCUAAUACCGGAUGAUAACGAGAAGCGCCUGCUUCUUUUUUGACAGUCGGUUUCGGCUGACGCUUACAGAUGGGCCCGCGGCGCAUUAUCUAGUUGGUGAGGUAACGGCUCACCAAGGCGACGAUGCGUAGCCGACCUGAGAGGGUGAUCGGCCACACUGGGACUGAGACACGGCCCAGACUCCUACGGGAGGCAGCAGUAGGGAAUCUUCGGCAAUGGACGAAAGUCUGACCGAGCAACGCCGCGUGAGCGAUGAAGGCCUUCGGGUCGUAAAGCUCUGUUGUCAGAGAAGAACAAGUACCGGAGUCACUGCCGGUACCUUGACGGUACUUGACCAGAAAGCCACGGCUAACUACGUGCCAGCAGCCGCGGUAA